This 253-nucleotide ribosomal RNA is filed under the name uncultured bacterium. RNAcentral's name for it is "partial 16S ribosomal RNA". It matches the Rfam family "Bacterial small subunit ribosomal RNA", at positions 524 to 776 of the family's 1533-position model. The record is from RNAcentral.
UACGGGGGGGGUAAGCGUUGUUCGGAAUUACUGGGCGUAAAGGGCUCGUAGGCGGCCAACUAAGUCAGACGUGAAAUCCCUCAGCUUAACUGGGGAACUGCGUCUGAUACUGGAUGGCUUGGAUCCGGGAGAGGGAUGCAGAAUUCCAGGUGUAGCGGUGAAAUGCGUAGAUAUCUGGAGGAAUACCGGUGGCGAAGGCGGCAUCCUGGACCGGCAUUGACGCUGAGGAGCGAAAGCCAGGGGAGCAAACGGG